AGUGAACGCUGGCGGUAGGCCUAACACAUGCAAGUCGAACGGCAGCACAGGAGAGCUUGCUCUCUGGGUGGCGAGUGGCGGACGGGUGAGGAAUACAUCGGAAUCUACUCUGUCGUGGGGGAUAACGUAGGGAAACUUACGCUAAUACCGCAUACGACCUACGGGUGAAAGCAGGGGACCUUCGGGCCUUGCGCGAUUGAAUGAGCCGAUGUCGGAUUAGCUAGUUGGCGGGGUAAAGGCCCACCAAGGCGACGAGCCGUAGCUGGUCUGAGAGGAUGAUAAGCCAAACUGGAGCUGAGACACGGUCCAGCCUCCUACGGGAGGCAGCAGUGGGGAAUAUUGGAAAAUGGGCGCAAGCCUGAUCCAGCCAUACCGCGUGGGUGAAGAAGGCCUUCGGGUUGUAAAGCCCUUUUGUUGGGAAAGAAAUCCAGCUGGCUAAUACCCGGUUGGGAUGACGGUACCCAAAGAAUAAGCACCGGCUAACUUCGUGCCAGCCGCCGCCGUAA
Molecule: ribosomal RNA, 506 nt
Filed under: uncultured bacterium
Lineage: Bacteria
Description: partial 16S ribosomal RNA
Rfam family: Bacterial small subunit ribosomal RNA
Source: RNAcentral